AUUGAACGCUGGCGGCAGGCUUAACACAUGCAAGUCGAGCGAGCGGCGGACGGGUGAGUAAUGUCUGGGAAACUGCCUGAUGGAGGGGGAUAACUACUGGAAACGGUAGCUAAUACCGCAUACCCUCAGAUGUGCCCAGCUGGGAUUAGCUAGUAGGUAAGGUAACGGCUUACCUAGGCGACGAUCCCUAGCUGGUCUGAGAGGAUGAUCAGCAAAACGGGGACUGAGACACGGCCCAGACUCCUACGGGAGGCAGCAGUGGGGAAUAUUGCACAAUGGGCGCAAGCCUGAUGCAGCCAUGCCGCGUGUAUGAAGAAGGCCUUCGGGUUGGAAAGUACUUUCAGUGGGGAGGCGUUACCGGCAGAAGAAGCACCGGCUAACUCCGUGCCAGCAGCCGCGGUAAUAC
This 406-nucleotide ribosomal RNA is filed under the name uncultured bacterium. RNAcentral's name for it is "partial 16S ribosomal RNA". It matches the Rfam family "Bacterial small subunit ribosomal RNA", at positions 30 to 526 of the family's 1533-position model. The record is from RNAcentral.